CCUGAGCCAAGCCUUUGGUUAAGAGCAAUUUAGAGCUAGGUGCAGGGGUACACAUCUGUAAUCCCAGUAGCUAGGGAGGAUAAGGCAGGAGGAUCGCAAAUUCAAAGCCAGCUUCAGCAACUUAGCAAGACCCUAAAGCAAUUUAGCCAGACCCUGUCUUAAAAUUUAAAAAUGGGCUGGGGAUGUGGUUCAGUGGUUAAGUGCUCCUGGAUUCAAUCCUGAUACCAAAAAAAAAAAAAAAUAGCCAUUUAUAAUAUGUAGAAAUUAUAGAAAACAUGAGUCUGUGAUCCAGUAGGGGGCAAUUAUCAUGUUGUCUUCUAAAUACAGAUAUGGAAGAGCCACUCCAGUAUGUCUUCAGUAAGUGUAUCUGUAUGGUUGUAUACAUGUGCAGAGACACAUACAUGAAAUUACUCAUUCAUGUGUGUUUUUUAAAAUAUGGUUUUUGUAUCAUGUUGUCUUAAUCUAAACAAUGCCUUGCUUCUCUCUACUACCUAGAGCUUCCUACUUCCUGUGUUCUUUAUACCUUUUUAUGAUUGUAAUCUCUAGAACAUGCACAUUACACCAAGUGUUAGAUAUAGUUCAGUGAAUGGAAGUGAAAGAAAAGAGAAGGAGAAAUUUGCCCCAUUUUAUAGUCUAUUAGUAUGAGAACAUUUACUGAGUAAUAUAUUGUCCAUUUUCUAUGGGCAAAUCUUCCGAACAUUUUUGAGGCCUUCUAGGGGAGAGACUGUGUAUCCACACCUUCUCUAAUCAUGCCCAACAUGAUUUAUUAUAUAAGGUAGGAAUCCUAAUUUUCUUGAUUGUGUGUGUAUGGUAUGCUUGUGUGUUCUGAUUACAGAACAGAGGGUUACUCCUGCUGUCUCAAGAAAAAAGUUGUGUGUAGGGGGGUUAUUGUAGACUGACAACCAGAGCUGCGGGGGAUGGGGGAUAUCAGAAUUUGAGCAGUUGUGAGAUCCCGCUCUUGCUGGGCAUGGUGGCACACACCUGUAAUCCCAGUGACUCCGGAGACUGAUGCUGGAGGUUCUCAAGUUCAAAGCCAGCCUCACCAAGAACUGGUUUGGGGAUGUAGCUCAGUGGCUGAGUGCCCCUGAAUUCAAUCCCUAGUACCCACAAAACAAAAACAGAAAUGAUCCUGCUCUUUUGUCUCUCUGUCCAAAGUAUUCCAUGACAAAUUUUCUCAUCUCUGCAUAUUUGUUCUUCUUUCUUUUGAUACUCACUGAUCCAUUCCCUCCAUAUUCUCCAACUUAAAUUCUGAUUGGCUUAGCUAAUUUCUACUACUCUUAUUGAACAGCAUCAAUUUUUGUCAGGCUGCCUCAUGGAUUGAUACCCAGUCUAUGGUCAGACUCCCUUAGGUCAAAUGCAUAUUUCCAUUUAAUUAGUGACCCCUUGUUCCUGAAAGACUGCUACUUUGAAGGAUGGAUGGGGUUGGGGGCUGCUGAAAACAAUGUAGUUAGAGGGAGCAAUAAAUGAAGCAAGAACAUUACAAUUCACAACAGAAUAUCCCUGAAAUAGAGUGCUAGUAUGCUGCAGAAAAGAAUUACUAAGGAGCUGGGAUGUAGCUCAGUGGUAGAGAGUUUGCCUAGUCCUGAGUUCAAUUCCUGGCACUGGGGGAAAAAAUAAAUAAAAAGUGUCACCAACUGUUGGAUGAUUGUUAUAUGCUAAGUUUGUUCCAAGCCUUUCAUACACACUAACUCACUUAGCAAAUAAAAAUACAGAAGGACAUACUUAAUUGAAGAAAUGAUUUGUUGUUUAUCUGAAAUUCAAAUUUAACUUAGGGCAUAUUGUAUUUUAUCUAGCAACCCCAUUUAUCCCUAUUUUACAGAUAAGGAUACUGAAGCACAAAGAGACAACUUGCCCAAGGACAUGCAUCAAGGAAGUGACAAGGCCACUUCCUAAGCUCUUUUCCACUGUACUAUAUUGCUGCUUUGAAGUCUAUAGUAAUGGCAGAACACACUCACACAUACACAUACCCUAAUUUUUUU
Molecule: long non-coding RNA, 1979 nt
Filed under: Marmota monax (woodchuck)
Lineage: Eukaryota; Metazoa; Chordata; Mammalia; Rodentia; Sciuridae
Source: RNAcentral